Molecule: ribosomal RNA, 685 nt
Filed under: uncultured bacterium
Lineage: Bacteria
Description: bacterial SSU rRNA
Rfam family: Bacterial small subunit ribosomal RNA
Source: RNAcentral
AGAGUUUGAUCCUGGCUCAGAUUGAACGCUGGCGGCAUGCUUUACACAUGCAAGUCGAACGGCAGCACGGGCUUCGGCCUGGUGGCGAGUGGCGAACGGGUGAGUAAUGCAUCGGAACGUGCCCAUGUCGUGGGGGAUAACGUAGCGAAAGCUACGCUAAUACCGCAUACGCCCUGAGGGGGAAAGCGGGGGAUUCUUCGGAACCUCGUGCGAUUGGAGCGGCCGAUGUCGGAUUAGCUAGUUGGUGGGGUAAAGGCCCACCAAGGCGACGAUCCGUAGCGGGUCUGAGAGGAUGAUCCGCCACACUGGGACUGAGACACGGCCCAGACUCCUACGGGAGGCAGCAGUGGGGAAUUUUGGACAAUGGGGGCAACCCUGAUCCAGCCAUGCCGCGUGAGUGAAGAAGGCCUUCGGGUUGUAAAGCUCUUUCGGCCGGGAAGAAAUCGUGGUCUCUAACAUAGGCCAUGGAUGACGGUACCGGACUAAGAAGCACCGGCUAACUACGUGCCAGCAGCCGCGGUAAUACGUAGGGUGCGAGCGUUAAUCGGAAUUACUGGGCGUAAAGCGUGCGCAGGCGGUUUUGUAAGACAGAUGUGAAAUCCCCGGGCUCAACCUGGGAACUGCGUUUGUGACUGCAAGGCUAGAGUACGGCAGAGGGGGGUGGAAUUCCACGUGUAGCAGUGAA